This 253-nucleotide ribosomal RNA is filed under the name uncultured prokaryote. Its description in RNAcentral is "partial 16S ribosomal RNA". It matches the Rfam family "Bacterial small subunit ribosomal RNA", at positions 525 to 777 of the family's 1533-position model. The record is from RNAcentral.
ACGUAGGGGGCGAGCGUUGUCCGGAUUCAUUGGGCGUAAAGCGCGCGUAGGCGGCCCGGUAAGUCGGGUGUGAAAUCCUGAGGCUCAACCUCAGGACUGCAUCCGAUACUGUCGGGCUAGAGGUAGGUAGGGGAGAUCGGAAUUCCUGGUGUAGCGGUGAAAUGCGCAGAUAACAGGAGGAACACCGGUGGCGAAGGCGGGUUGCUGGGCCGACACUGACGCUGAGGCGCGAAAGCUAGGGGAGCGAACGGGA